Anneissia japonica is the source of this 667-nucleotide long non-coding RNA. RefSeq lists it as uncharacterized. The record is from RefSeq and is a predicted model, not a curated record. Lineage: Eukaryota; Metazoa; Echinodermata; Crinoidea; Comatulida; Comatulidae. The transcript has 3 exons.
GCCUCGUUCAUGAGCCGGUGCCCAUUCUGAAAGGUGUAUACAACAACAAUCAAUAUCAACGGAGGCCACCUUAUAAUUGGCUCACAGGAAAAGAACUUUAAGCAUGCCCGAAUAUGUAAUUUACCAACAUUAUACAAGAUCAUCACUUGACGUUAUGCCUUUAUGCUUACGAGAGGAAAAUGACUAUCCCGACUUUGAGCAGAGCGCUGCUGUCCGAUUCUUUGAUUAUUUGACUGACAAAAUUCAAGCCGACGAAGUAUUUUCUGGAAGAACCUUUUCAGACACUACAUCGUCGUUAGAUGAUUCGAUUCCUGACCAUUCUGGCGAACUCAUCAAAAGAGAUCAUUUGAUGCAUCUCCAGAAGAAAUUUACGAAAAGUUUCUUUGAUUUUGAAGAAUUUCUCAGAAAGGUUGUACCAUCUAACUUGAAAAGAAAUGGAAUAUUGGGUGGAUAGUUUUGGCUCCAAGAGACUUUCUAUUUCAUGAGGAUUUUGUUAGUUUGACUGACGCAUGCAAAGAAUGGAAAAGUCUUCUGAAAGAAAAUAUCCGUGUAAAUUUUCCAUUAAUCAAGAAUUUAGCGGAAAGUGGAUGAUUUUUGGACGAAAUGGUCUACACGCUGAUCUUACUUGGAUACGCAUAGCCCGAGCUCACCGAGAAGGAAAGUUAGG